UAAAAAAUAUUGCCCCCGCUUUGCAACUUCUUUUCAUACUCCUACUUGAUUUGUAAAAUAGCAAUAAAUGGGCAGCAAAUUCCAUGGAACUCCUCGACUAUCACAAGUUUACUUGGACACCUUCAGAUGUGCUAAUGCGGCGAGCACUGCUAGGAAGGCGUCGGCGUGCUCCGGCCUGACGCAGGCCGACAUGACGCCGACCCCGUCCUUGCC
This 213-nucleotide long non-coding RNA is filed under the name Hordeum vulgare. RNAcentral describes it as "long non-coding RNA (HVUL_LNC002442)". The record is from RNAcentral. Lineage: Eukaryota; Viridiplantae; Streptophyta; Magnoliopsida; Poales; Poaceae.